RNAcentral lists this ribosomal RNA (632 nucleotides) under Candidatus Giovannonibacteria bacterium GW2011_GWC2_43_8. Its description in RNAcentral is "bacterial LSU rRNA". The stretch from base 175 to 632 matches the Rfam family "Bacterial large subunit ribosomal RNA", at positions 1 to 442 of the family's 2925-position model. The record is from RNAcentral. Lineage: Bacteria; Candidatus Giovannoniibacteriota.
AAAAACAUAGUAGCUUAUUCGCUAAGAAUCCUUGCGCCGCAGAUGAUCGGGACUAAGACACAUGCCGAAGGUGAGGAAUUGGUGCUUAGAAAAAAACAUAGUAGCUUAUUCGCUAAGAGUUUUUGCGCCGCAGAUGAUCGGGGCUAAAUAGAGUACCGCAGGUGAGGAAUUGGUGCUUGAAUUUAUAAGGGCAUAUGGCGGAUGGCUCGAGAUAAGAUGGGCGAUGAAGGACGUGGCGUGCCUGCGAUAAGCUUGGGGGAGGUGGCUAGCAACCUUUGAUCCCAAGAUUUCCGAAUGGGGAAACCCCGCGCCGAGAAAUCGGCGUGAUCUUGCAUCUUAAAUGGUGCCGGAAGCGAACCCGCUGAAGUAAAACAUUUCAGUAAGCGGAGGAAAAGAAAAAAAUAUUUAUUCCCUUAGUAGCGGCGAGCGAAAAGGGAGCAGCCCAGAUCGUCAAUGCUGCGCAUUGACGCGCUGAAAACGCUGACUGGACGCUGACAGUCGCAGAAAUAAAAACAUUAGCAGAACGGUCCUGGAAAGGCCGGCCAAAGAGGGUAAUAGCCCCGUAAACGACAAUGAUUUUUUACUUUCUGGAUUUUACUUGAGUACCUCGAAAAAUGUAUAGUUCGGGGGAA